RNAcentral lists this ribosomal RNA (496 nucleotides) under uncultured bacterium. RNAcentral's name for it is "bacterial SSU rRNA". It matches the Rfam family "Bacterial small subunit ribosomal RNA", at positions 21 to 507 of the family's 1533-position model. The record is from RNAcentral.
GGCUCAGAUUGAACGCUGGCGGCAUGCCUUACACAUGCAAGUCGAACGGCAGCGGACCUUCGGGUGACCGGCGAGUGGCGAACGGGUGAGUAAUAUAUCGGAACGUACCUUUCAGUGGGGGAUAACGUAGCGAAAGUUACGCUAAUACCGCAUAUUCUGUGAGACAGGAAAGCAGGGGAUCGCAAGACCUUGCGCUGAUUGAGCGGCCGAUAUCAGAUUAGCUAGUUGGUGAGGUAAAGGCUCACCAAGGCGACGAUCUGUUAGCGGGUCUGAGAGGAUGAUCCGCCACACUGGAACUGAGACACGGUCCAGACUCCCUACGGGACGGCAGCAGUGGGGGAAUUUUUGGACAAUGGGCGCAAGCCUGAUCCAGCCAUGCCGCGUGAGUGAAGAAGGCCUUCGGGUUGUAAAGCUCUUUCGGCCGGGAAGAAAUCGCACAGGUUAAUACCCUGUGUGGAUGACGGUACCGGAAUAAGAAGCACCGGCUAACUACGUG